CACAACAGCCCCAGCUGGACAAUAUGCCACCAAUCAACGCCAAAGAACGAGUACAAGAGUAUGUGCAACAACAGUCAGAACUCAGCGUUAAUCUGCAGACUUCAGAGGUAAAUUCUCCUGGAAUCCCACUUCCUCCAGUUACACAGCCAGAUAUCUCCAUUGCGGCAACAGUAAAAGCAUACAAGGAAUCGAGUACCUGUCAGCCUAGUGUGUACAACAGUCAAGAGUUUGCACCUUUGCAAUCCUACUGUGCCGUGAGUCCAAAGAAAGAAUCGUACAACUGGAGUUACGGAGGACAGACGACGAAUGAUGGAUUUCACCAUCCCCAGCCCAAGCUAGUGACACCCACACCGACAAGGGGCAGUCCUGGUGACACUUCAGAUCUAACAAAAUAUCUCAUACGGAAAGACAUGAUCGGCUCUGGUCUCCUGAAAUUCGAUGAUCGACCAGAGAACUACUGGGCGUGGAAGACUUCCUUUCUAAGUGCAAUUCAAGAUCUGAGUAUAUCACCUCAAGAAGAGCUAGACCUGCUUUCCAAAUGGCUUGGCCCACACUCAGCUGCACAGGCCAGGAGAGUCAGAGCUGCAUAUAUAAACAAUCCUACAGCAGGCCUACAGAUGGUGUGGCAGAGACUGGAGGAGUGUUUUGGAGCACCAGAGGUGAUUGAGCAUGCACUUCUAAAGAAAGUUGAGGAUUUUCCUAAGCUGAUGAAUAGAGACAACCAACGCUUAAGAGAACUGGGGGAUCUUCUACUCGAACUUCAUGCUGCAAAAACAAGUGGCCAUCUUCCUGGUCUUUCACAUCUUGACACAGCACACGGAGUCAACCCAAUUCUGGAAAAGCUUCCAUAUCACCUUCAGGAGAAAUGGGUAACAGCCGCCUCAAGGUUCAAGAGAGAUAAUGCAGUAUCCUAUCCUCCAUUUUCAUUUUUUGUUGGUGUAGUGAAUGAAGAAGCCAGAAUUCGCAAUGACCCAAGUUUUUCCUGUGUCACCUCUGCCAGUGCCAGCAAUCCGAAAACAGAGAGAACGGUAAGGCAGAACUAUCAACCCCCUUUGUCUGUUAAGAAGACAGAGAUUUCAAGUGUUGGGGGAGCCAGCUCAAACACUCCCACUGACAAGAACAACAUAGACCCCGAUAAACAAUGUCCGCUACACAGUAAGCCUCACCCGCUGAGAAAAUGCCGUCUCUUCAGAAGUAAGACUUUGGAGGAAAGAAAGACUUUCUUGAAAAACAAACAAAUUUGUUUUAAGUGUUGCUCUUCUGUUAAUCACAUAGCCAAAGAUUGUUUGAAGGCAGUACAGUGCACAGAGUGUGGUAGUGGAAGGCAUAUCACUGCACUACACCCUGAUCCCCUUCCCCGUAGAUUGGAGAGCUCAGUGACCACGGAUGAGCAUGGCGGGGAGGAAAGAGAAUCAGCUGCAGCUGAUGUGACAUCAAAAUGCAAAGGAGUAUGUGGAGGUUCGAUCGGCUCAAGAUCAUGCUCCAAGAUAUGUUUGGUUAAAGUGUUUCCUGCCGAACAACCAGAGAAAGCGGUUAGCAUGUAUGCUGUUCUGGAUGAACAAAGCAACCGCUCCUUGGCUAAAACAUACUUUUUUGACAUCAUUAACAUUCAAGGACAACCAGAACCAUACACAUUGAAAACAUGUGCAGGCGUCAGAGAAGUAGCAGGGAGACGAGCCAGCCACUUCAUAGUAGAGUCGCUUGAUGGUAUGACUCAGCUUCCCUUGCCCAAUCUCAUUGAGUGUGAUAUGAUACCUGAUGAUAGGACUGAAAUCCCGUCACCCGACGUUACUUCCUAUUACCCACACCUGAAACCAGUCCAAGGUAAAAUUCCAGAAAUUGAUCCAGGUGCGGAAAUCCUUCUCCUCCUUGGCAGAGACAUUUUGUGUGUGCACAAGGUAAGAGAACAGCAUAACGGACUCCAUAACGAGCCAUAUGCUCAACGGCUCGACCUUGGUUGGGUAAUCGUGGGUGAAGUGUGUCUAGGGCAGGUGCACAAGGCAGCCAAUGUUAGCGUAUACAGGACCAACAUUCUGCUAAGUGGACGAGCUUCACUCUUGAGUUCAUGUCCAAACAACGUACGAGUCAAAGAAAAGCUUAGUUGUCAC
Molecule: long non-coding RNA, 2108 nt
Organism: Pygocentrus nattereri (red-bellied piranha)
Lineage: Eukaryota; Metazoa; Chordata; Actinopteri; Characiformes; Serrasalmidae
Source: Ensembl